GACGAACGCUGGCGGCGUGCUUAACACAUGCAAGUCGAACGGAAAGGCCCUGCUUUUGUGGGGUGCUCGAGUGGCGAACGGGUGAGUAACACGUGAGUAACCUGCCCUUGACUUUGGGAUAACUUCAGGAAACUGGGGCUAAUACCGGAUAGGAGCUCCUGCUGCAUGGUGGGGGUUGGAAAGUUUCGGUGGUUGGGGAUGGACUCGCGGCUAAUCAGCUUGUUGGUGGGGUAGUGGCUUACCAAGGCUUUGACGGGUAGCCGGCCUGAGAGGGUGACCGGCCACAUUGGGACUGAGAUGCGGCCCAGACUCCUACGGGAGGCAGCAGUGGGGAAUAUUGCACAAUGGGCGGAAGGCUGAUGCAGCAACGCCGCGUGCGGUAUGACGGCCUUCGGGUUGUAAACCGCUUUCGCCUGUGACGAAGCGUGAGUGACGGUAAUGGGUAAAGAAGCACCGGCUAACUACGUG
RNAcentral lists this ribosomal RNA (468 nucleotides) under uncultured bacterium. RNAcentral's name for it is "partial 16S ribosomal RNA". It matches the Rfam family "Bacterial small subunit ribosomal RNA", at positions 28 to 507 of the family's 1533-position model. The record is from RNAcentral.